RNAcentral lists this ribosomal RNA (566 nucleotides) under uncultured bacterium. RNAcentral's name for it is "partial 16S ribosomal RNA". It matches the Rfam family "Bacterial small subunit ribosomal RNA", at positions 355 to 914 of the family's 1533-position model. The record is from RNAcentral.
UGGGGAAUUUUGGACAAUGGGGGAAACCCUGAUCCAGCCAUCCCGCGUGUGCGAUGAAGGCCUUCGGGUUGUAAAGCACUUUUGGCAGGAAAGAAACGUCGCGGGUUAGUACCCCGCGAAACUGACGGUACCUGCAGAAUAAGCACCGGCUAACUACGUGCCAGCAGCCGCGGUAAUACGUAGGGUGCAAGCGUUAAUCGGAAUUACUGGGCGUAAAGCGUGCGCAGGCGGUUCGGAAAGAAAGAUGUGAAAUCCCAGAGCUUAACUUUGGAACUGCAUUUUUAACUACCGGGCUAGAGUGUGUCAGAGGGAGGUGGAAUUCCGCGUGUAGCAGUGAAAUGCGUAGAUAUGCGGAGGAACACCGAUGGCGAAGGCAGCCUCCUGGGAUAACACUGACGCUCAUGCACGAAAGCGUGGGGAGCAAACAGGAUUAGAUACCCUGGUAGUCCACGCCCUAAACGAUGUCAACUAGCUGUUGGGGCCUUCGGGCCUUGGUAGCGCAGCUAACGCGUGAAGUUGACCGCCUGGGGAGUACGGUCGCAAGAUUAAAACUCAAAGGAAUUGAC